UGUCUGCAGUGAUGAUAUAAUAGUUCAGAUGACCUACUGUGAUAUAUUUUCAUGUCUUUCGCUCCUAUCUGACUGUUGCGU
Molecule: small nucleolar RNA, 81 nt
Organism: Schistocerca americana (American grasshopper)
Lineage: Eukaryota; Metazoa; Arthropoda; Insecta; Orthoptera; Acrididae
Product: small nucleolar RNA snR60/Z15/Z230/Z193/J17
Exons: 1
Source: RefSeq, a predicted model, not a curated record